This 309-nucleotide ribosomal RNA is filed under the name Triticum aestivum (bread wheat). RNAcentral describes it as "partial small subunit ribosomal RNA". Lineage: Eukaryota; Viridiplantae; Streptophyta; Magnoliopsida; Poales; Poaceae. The record is from RNAcentral.
AUGAGGCUUCUUCGUACAGAAGACCAUGGUUGGUGCGUUAGCAUCUUCAGUAAUGAGCAUAACCAUCAUCUGUCUGGAAAUCAAGAGGAGACAAGGGAAUGGCAUUCACACAGUGAGAUCAACCCUGUACUUAUGAACUUCAUCAAGGAUUUGAGAGAGAACAAUAUCAGUCUCAGCAAGGUGCACAACAUACUAAAUGCAACGCAUGGUGAUCAGGCUGGUGCACCGUUCCGUAAGCAAUCUUUAAGGUGUGCUCAUGCGCGAGGAAACAGUAGCUGGAUUCGAGUGGGCUUUCGGAAAUUUUGUUGA